AUGCCGCUCUCCGCACUCUCCUCGGGCCACAUCGAAGCCGCCGCGACCGUGCUCCUCACCUCGCUGGCCUUCCUCCCGCGCGCCGCGCAGCGCUGGUUCCGGCCGUGGAAGCUGCUGCUCUGCUUGGGAUCCCGCGGACGCCGCAGCGGCCGCGGAGCUCGGCCUCCGCCUCGUCCACGUCGACACCAACCACGUCGAGGAGAUCGCGAACACGGUCAUGGCGCUCUUCCUCGACCUCCUCCGCCGCACCCACCUGCUGUCCGGACACGCGUCCUCCUCCACGCCGUCCGCCGGGUGGCUCGGCUCCGUCCUCCACCUCCUUCUAUCCUUGCACGGAGCUCAAGCUCUUGCCCGCACCCAUCUUGCCCAUCCCCUGCUGGAACACGUAGAAGAAGUAGCCCUGGUUCAUGGCGAACAUGUUCACAAGCCGUUGCAUCUCCGGCGACUCGAACAGCGUCUGGUCCGAGCUCAGCAGGCCCCUCCGCUGCUGCAGCUCCUUGA
This 501-nucleotide ribosomal RNA is filed under the name Triticum aestivum (bread wheat). Its description in RNAcentral is "partial small subunit ribosomal RNA". Lineage: Eukaryota; Viridiplantae; Streptophyta; Magnoliopsida; Poales; Poaceae. The record is from RNAcentral.